AAAUUGAAGAGUUUGAUCAUGGCUCAGAUUGAACGCUGGCGGCAGGCCUAACACAUGCAAGUCGAACGGUAACAGGAAGCAGCUUGCUGCUUCGCUGACGAGUGGCGGACGGGUGAGUAAUGUCUGGGAAACUGCCUGAUGGAGGGGGAUAACUACUGGAAACGGUGGCUAAUACCGCAUAACGUCGCAAGACCAAAGAGGGGGACCUUCGGGCCUCUUGCCAUCAGAUGUGCCCAGAUGGGAUUAGCUGGUUGGUGAGGUAACGGCUCACCAAGGCGACGAUCCCUAGCUGGUCUGAGAGGAUGACCAGCCACACUGGAACUGAGACACGGUCCAGACUCCUACGGGAGGCAGCAGUGGGGAAUAUUGCACAAUGGGCGCAAGCCUGAUGCAGCCAUGCCGCGUGUAUGAAGAAGGCCUUCGGGUUGUAAAGUACUUUCAGCGGGGAGGAAGGUGUUGUGGUUAAUAACUGCAGCAAUUGACGUUACCCGCAGAAGAAGCACCGGCUAACUCCGUGCCAGCAGCCGCGGUAAUACGGAGGGUGCAAGCGUUAAUCGGAAUUACUGGG
Molecule: ribosomal RNA, 568 nt
Filed under: Salmonella enterica subsp. enterica serovar Kentucky
Lineage: Bacteria; Pseudomonadati; Pseudomonadota; Gammaproteobacteria; Enterobacterales; Enterobacteriaceae
Description: bacterial SSU rRNA
Rfam family: Bacterial small subunit ribosomal RNA
Source: RNAcentral